This 517-nucleotide ribosomal RNA is filed under the name Bacillus subtilis. Its description in RNAcentral is "bacterial SSU rRNA". It matches the Rfam family "Bacterial small subunit ribosomal RNA", at positions 45 to 547 of the family's 1533-position model. Lineage: Bacteria; Bacillati; Bacillota; Bacilli; Caryophanales; Bacillaceae. The record is from RNAcentral.
UGCUAUACAUGCAGUCGAGCGGACAGAUGGGAGCUUGCUCCCUGAUGUUAGCGGCGGACGGGUGAGUAACACGUGGGUAACCUGCCUGUAAGACUGGGAUAACUCCGGGAAACCGGGGCUAAUACCGGAUGGUUGUUUGAACCGCAUGGUUCAAACAUAAAAGGUGGCUUCGGCUACCACUUACAGAUGGACCCGCGGCGCAUUAGCUAGUUGGUGAGGUAACGGCUCACCAAGGCAACGAUGCGUAGCCGACCUGAGAGGGUGAUCGGCCACACUGGGACUGAGACACGGCCCAGACUCCUACGGGAGGCAGCAGUAGGGAAUCUUCCGCAAUGGACGAAAGUCUGACGGAGCAACGCCGCGUGAGUGAUGAAGGUUUUCGGAUCGUAAAGCUCUGUUGUUAGGGAAGAACAAGUACCGUUCGAAUAGGGCGGUACCUUGACGGUACCUAACCAGAAAGNCCACGGCUAACUACGUGCCAGCAGCCGCGGUAAUACGUAGUGGCAAGCGUUGUCCG